UCUAGAUCACUCUCUCUCUAACUCUUUUCUCAAUAAUACUCUGCAGCUUUCUCUCUAGUAACCGAGAGCAUCAUCAUCACUACUUUAGAACCCAGCCAAAAUUAGAACCCCAAACCACGAAUUUAGCACCACAGUAACUAGGGGAUCUGCUCAAGAGCCUUGCAUGCAUGAUCCAUGGUCUGGAACAUAUCAAACUUGAGCUUCUGUGCUAUGUGGGUUCUCAAGUGUAUUUCUCGAGAAAUCCGACAAACUUACUAUCAAUCGAGCUGGCGCUUAACUCCUUCUAAUUUGAGGGAGAAUGGAAGCCACGAAAGCCACCAAGGACUCCAGCAAAAGAAAAGGCGGGGAAAGGAAGAAGUCGGUGUCCAAGUCAAUUAAAGCUGGCCUCCAAUUCUUUGUUGGUCGUAUUGUUCGUUAGGUGGUGUUAGUUAAGACAGACAUCAGUCUGCUCCAUCCGACAGUCUUUGUCAAUACUUAAUAUCGCAUGUAUCCGACGUGAGCCUCGAUGUCACUUUUAACCGAUGCUACUAUCCUUUUGUAUUUUACAUUGCUUUCCUUCUUCAGGGUGGAUUAAGGGGACUAACCAACAUCAAAAGCUUUUUCGUGACCUUAGCAUUGGUGUCGGUUCUAUUAUCUGACAUUGCAUGAGUUUUUGUUGGAUUUUUACCAAAUAUCCAAUAUAAAUUAUGUUUUCUUGUCGGUUUUUGAACCGCCAGUUAUAGGUAAUUUUGUAGUAGUGUACUAGAACUAAAUUUUAUAGGGUUUUUAGGUCUCUCAUUGCACUAGGA
Molecule: long non-coding RNA, 788 nt
Organism: Malus domestica (apple)
Lineage: Eukaryota; Viridiplantae; Streptophyta; Magnoliopsida; Rosales; Rosaceae
Source: RefSeq, a predicted model, not a curated record